CUGCAGACACUGAUCGCUUACUCUGCAUGUUGUUGCAGAAGUGAGGGGAACCAGGUUUGUUGAAGUAAUUGUGGUAGAAAUGCAUUAGCCUCAGAAGCUUCUGAAGUGGUCCAUUCUGUCCCAGGACAAUG
This is a small nucleolar RNA of Phyllostomus discolor (pale spear-nosed bat), 131 nucleotides long. NCBI's taxonomy places the organism in Eukaryota, Metazoa, Chordata, Mammalia, Chiroptera, Phyllostomidae. The record is from RefSeq and is a predicted model, not a curated record.